AUGACAUCUCUUCUGUUCCAGCUGGUUUCAGUCUUCCUCCUCCUGCUGGCUCCACUGUUGGCCAGCUGCCAGCAGAUCCGCCGACCGGUGGACUGCAGUGCCAUCUAUCUGCGAGACAAUAGCAAUCCCAGUGGAGUGUACACCAUCUAUCCCGCUGGAAAGAGGUCUGCUGUCAAGGUGUACUGUGACAUGACUUCAGAAGGAGGACGGUGGACGGUGUUCCAGAGGAGGCUGGAUGGCACUUUGAACUUCUACAGGGGCUGGAAUCAAUACAAGGCCGGCUUUGGUAGUGGUACUGGAGAGUACUGGCUCGGUCUUGACAACAUCCACUACCUGACAAACAACAGAAAGAGUGAGCUGCUGGUCGACAUGGAGGACUUUGAGGGGAGAAAAGCGUUCACUCGGUACUCUUCGUUCUCCGUCGGUGAAGGUGACGGAUUUGUGUUGAGUGUGUCUGGACUCAUUAGUGCAGGGGCAGGAGACUCCCUGAGUUAUCACAACGGAAUGAAGUUCACCACCUUUGACAAAGACCAGGACAACUGGUAUGGAAACUGUGCCAGAUAUGCCCUGGGGGCAUUCUGGUUCAACGGCUGUCACCAUGCAAAUCCGAACGGCGUUUAUCGUUGGGGGGCUGACAGCACUGUCUCUUAUGUUGGAGUGGAGUGGGUACAUUUUAAAGGUUAUAACUACUCCCUGAAGACCAUCAGCAUGAAGAUCCGUCCUGUGCUGUAGUUCUCCAGGACCAACGUACAGCAGAAUAUCAGCUCAUCUCUUGUGAUUUCUUUCUCUUUCUCUCAUUAAGCAUUUAAUCUCACAAUAUGUCUUAUUUUCCCGAAACUGGGCACCAGCACAAGAAAACCAACUGAUGUUUGUAAUUCUUGUUACUGUCUGUGGUGGUUUAAAGCAGUCGCAGCUCGCUGCAACAUGGAAGAAAAGUCAAUUGUGUGACCAGUAGCAAGAAAAGUAGGGCCCAUAAUCUUUAAAUGUAAACACAUAUAUAGUCUGAUCGGGUGUAUAUCACUGCAUGAACUGCUAACAUGAUUCUAAAAGAGUCUGUAAAAACUAAAUGAAAAGUAUGAAACCAUCUUUGUAGUUCAGGACAGCCAGUUGAUGUUUGGUGAGGUUUGAAACUCUAAUGUGAAUCUUUAUCUGCUGUACGGUGACAAUAAAUAAGAAGCUGAGCAUUAAGAUGA
Molecule: RNA transcript, 1193 nt
Organism: Sander lucioperca (pikeperch)
Lineage: Eukaryota; Metazoa; Chordata; Actinopteri; Perciformes; Percidae
Gene name: microfibril-associated glycoprotein 4-like
Exons: 6
Source: RefSeq, a predicted model, not a curated record